GGCGGAGCGGAGCCCCGCCCUGGGUUAUGUAAGCGACCGCGCUGGGCCGUUUCUCUUUCUUUUCCGGACCCUGCAGUGGCGCCUAAAGUCUGAGAGAGGGAAGUCGCCUCUGUGCUGAGCCCCACAGUCUUCGUUAUAACCUCACGGUGCUGUCCUGGGAUGGAUCUGUGCAGUCAGGGUUUCUUGCUGAGGUACAUCUGGAUGGUCAGCCCUUCCUGCGCUAUGACAGGCAGAAAUGCAGGGCAAAGCCCCAGGGACAGUGGGCAGAAGAUGUCCUGGGAAAUAAGACAUGGGACAGAGAGACCAGGGACUUGACAGGGAACGGAAAGGACCUCAGGAUGACCCUGGCUCAUAUCAAGGACCAGAAAGAAGGCUUGCAUUCCCUCCAGGAGAUUAGGGUCUGUGAGAUCCAUGAAGACAACAGCACCAGGAGCUCCCAGCAUUUCUACUACGAUGGGGAGCUCUUCCUCUCCCAAAACGUGGAGACUGAGGAAUGGACAGUGCCCCAGUCCUCCAGAGCUCAGACCUUGGCCAUGAACGUCAGGAAUUUCUUGAAGGAAGAUGCCAUGAAGACCAAGACACACUAUCACGCUAUGCAUGCAGACUGCCUGCAGGAACUACGGCGAUAUCUAGAAUCCAGCGUAGUCCUGAGGAGAAGAGUGCCCCCCAUGGUGAAUGUCACCCGCAGCGAGGCCUCAGAGGGCAACAUCACCGUGACAUGCAGGGCUUCCAGCUUCUAUCCCCGGAAUAUCACACUGACCUGGCGUCAGGAUGGGGUAUCUUUGAGCCACGACACCCAGCAGUGGGGGGAUGUCCUGCCUGAUGGGAAUGGAACCUACCAGACCUGGGUGGCCACCAGGAUUUGCCAAGGAGAGGAGCAGAGGUUCACCUGCUACAUGGAACACAGCGGGAAUCACAGCACUCACCCUGUGCCCUCUG
Molecule: unclassified non-coding RNA, 939 nt
Filed under: Homo sapiens (human)
Lineage: Eukaryota; Metazoa; Chordata; Mammalia; Primates; Hominidae
Description: MHC class I polypeptide-related sequence A (ENSG00000235233.9)
Source: RNAcentral